GGCGGCGUGCCUAAUACAUGCAAUUCGAGCGAACAGACGAGGAGCUUGAUCCUCUGACGUUAGCGGCGGACGGGUGAGUAACACGUGGAUAACCUACCUAUAAGACUGGGAUAACUUCGGGAAACCGGAGCUAAUACCGGAUAAUAUAUUGAACCGCAUGGUUCAAUAGUGAAAGACGGUUUUGCUGUCACUUAUAGAUGGAUCCGCGUCGCAUUAGCUAGUUGGUAAGGUAACGGCUUACCAAGGCAACGAUGCGUAGCCGACCUGAGAGGGUGAUCGGCCACACUGGAACUGAGACACGGUCCAGACUCCUACGGGAGGCAGCAGUAGGGAAUCUUCCGCAAUGGGCGAAAGCCUGACGGAGCAACGCCGCGUGAGUGAUGAAGGUCUUCGGAUCGUAAAACUCUGUUAUUAGGGAAGAACAAAUGUGUAAGUAACUAUGCACGUCUUGACGGUACCUAAUCAGAAAGCCACGGCUAACUACGUGCCAGCAGCCGCGGUAAUACGUAGGUGGCAAGCGUUAUCCGGAAUUAUUGGGCGUAAAGCGCGCGUAGGCGGUUUUUUAAGUCUGAUGUGAAAGCCCACGGCUCAACCGUGGAGGGUCAUUGGAAACUGGAAAACUUGAGUGCAGAAGAGGAAAGUGGAAUUCCAUGUGUAGCGGUGAAAUGCGCAGAGAUAUGGAGGAACACCAGUGGCGAAGGCGACUUUCUGGUCUGUAACUGACGCUGAUGUGCGAAAGCGUGGGGAUCAAACAGGAUUAGAUACCCUGGUAGUCCACGCCGUAAACGAUGAGUGCUAAGUGUUAGGGGGUUUCCGCCCCUUAGUGCUGCAGCUAACGCAUUAAGCACUCCGCCUGGGAUUCCCCCCCCC
This 870-nucleotide ribosomal RNA is filed under the name Staphylococcus epidermidis. RNAcentral's name for it is "bacterial SSU rRNA". It matches the Rfam family "Bacterial small subunit ribosomal RNA", at positions 38 to 889 of the family's 1533-position model. The record is from RNAcentral. Lineage: Bacteria; Bacillati; Bacillota; Bacilli; Caryophanales; Staphylococcaceae.